This 272-nucleotide long non-coding RNA is filed under the name Pelobates cultripes (western spadefoot toad). The record is from RNAcentral. Lineage: Eukaryota; Metazoa; Chordata; Amphibia; Anura; Pelobatidae.
CAAGUGAUGUCACACUGUUAUAAGUUUGUAUGCUUAACAAACCUUGAAUCAUUAGUAGAUAAGUCUGAAACGAGUUCCUGAUCCGGGACUGUCGAAGGAUGUCCAAGAAGGAUGUGGCGUGUUUCUGGAUCGUACUGCUCCUGUGCCAAGAGCUACGGACCGACCCGAUCGCAGAGAUGGGACCAUCCUCCGGCAUCCUGAUUCAAGAGACACCAGGGUUCAUCUUGACAGAGAAGAGGAUCCUGACCCGACGUGUGUUCGUCAGCUUGGAC